Molecule: ribosomal RNA, 497 nt
Filed under: uncultured bacterium
Lineage: Bacteria
Description: partial 16S ribosomal RNA
Rfam family: Bacterial small subunit ribosomal RNA
Source: RNAcentral
GAUGAACGCUGGCGGCGUGCCUAAUACAUGCAAGUCGAGCGAACGGACGAGAAGCUUGCUUCUCUGAUGUUAGCGGCGGACGGGUGAGUAACACGUGGAUAACCUACCUAUAAGACUGGGAUAACUUCGGGAAACCGUAGCUAAUACCGGAUAAUAUUUUGAACCGCAUGGUUCAAAAGUGAAAGACGGUUUUGCUGUCACUUAUAGAUGGAUCCGCGCUGCAUUAGCUAGUUGGUAAGGUAACGGCUUACCAAGGCAACGAUGCAUAGCCGACCUGAGAGGGUGAUCGGCCACACUGGAACUGAGACACGGUCCAGACUCCUACGGGAGGCAGCAGUAGGGAAUCUUCCGCAAUGGGCGAAAGCCUGACGGAGCAACGCCGCGUGAGUGAUGAAGGUCUUCGGAUCGUAAAACUCUGUUAUUAGGGAAGAACAAAUGUGUAAGUAACUGUGCACAUCUUGACGGUACCUAAUCAGAAAGCCACGGCUAACUACGUG